Molecule: non-coding RNA, 74 nt
Organism: Capsicum annuum
Lineage: Eukaryota; Viridiplantae; Streptophyta; Magnoliopsida; Solanales; Solanaceae
Source: Rfam
GUUUAGGUAGCUUAGCUGGUUAGAGAAAAGGACUAAAAAUCCUUGUGUCAGUAGUUCGAAUCCACUUCUAAGAA